AUUGCAACGUUUAGAACCGCUGCAGCGAUUCACAUGCUUUUGUUUUUCUAAAUGUUAACUCAAUACUCACUUUAUCGACUCCCAUCACUCGACAGUGGCCGUGUUGCAGUCGACAUCUAAGUGAGGUUAGCUUACUUUUUGUAUAAAAAUUACAGCUACAUCUUGAACGCACAAUUUUUCAAGAAUGAAGACCAAAGUCAUAUGCUUUCGUCAUGCGACUACACACCACAGUCCAACAUGGCGGCCACGUCUGUUUUCCACAGAGCGAGAACAGGUUCGAAAAUAGGAGCUCAAUAUGAUCAAGAGGGAAAUCUUAUUCAGGUUGAAACAAGGGAGGACGAGGAGCUGAGUGUCAAGCUAGCAGAAAUCCUGGAACUUAUUCUUGCUGCUGGAUAUUUCAGAGCCCGAAUAAAAGGACUGGGACCUUUUGACAAGGUGGUUGGAGGGAUGACAUGGUGCAUCACAACAUGUAACUUUGACAUUGAUGUGGAUCUGCUGUUCCAGGAGAAUUCAACUAUUGGACAGAAAAUCGCUCUCACAGAGAAGAUUGUGUCUGUUCUGCCCAAAAUGAAGUGCCCUUAUUGCCAGGAGCCUCAUCAGAUCCAAGGGCUGGAUUUCAUCCAUAUAUUUCCAGUGAUACAGUGGCUGAUGAAGAGGGCCAUAGAGACGAGGGAGGAGAUGGGAGACUAUGUGAGAGCCUAUUCUGUCUCUCAGUUCCAGAAGACACACAGCUUCCCUGAGGAUGAAGACUUCCUCCAGAGGAAGGAAAAGGCUGUGAAAGCAGUCCUAGAUGUAUUGGCAGAGGAACGGAAAGCCUUGUUGAUGCCAGGCUCUCAGGCCACACCCCCAGGGAUUACAGAGGGGUCGCAGGAGGAGGAGGACCUGCAGGCAGCGGAGGAGCUGCGCAUCAAAACACUGAUGCCCAGCAUGGCUGCCAUGGUGACUGAUGAGGGGAGGCUAACGGCUAGCACAGUGGGACAGAUAGUUGGCUGCAGUCUGAGGAGAUUAAACAGAUAGCAUCUGAGUAUGCUGAGAAGUUGGAGAGGUCUGCAGAGGACCGCCCAGAGCGGUACAGGCCAAUCCAGCAGCACCGUAGGAUAGUGACCUCUCUGAACAAACAGAUCCAACAGAAGACCAAGCAGUUGGAGGAGCUAUAAGCCAAACACUUGGGUGUAAAAUCAGGGUGUGUAGAAGCUAAGAGCAAACUGUUGGAGGCCACAGAGCAGACCGAGAGACUGGAGAAAGAGCCUAGUGCCCUGGAAGUGGCAGAGGGCCAGGCUGAUACUGGACUGUUGGAGAAGCUGAGGGCUCUGGUAGGCAUGAAUGAGAACCCGAAGCACCAAGAGCAGGAGUUCCGGACACAUUGUAGAGAGUAGAUGGUUCACCUGCAGCAGAACAUUGAGGACCUGAAGAUGGAGUCAGGAGAUGAUACGGAGGACGAGAAGGUAACACACUCCCAAGACCAGCGAACUCUUUUUUUGUCUAUGUUCAAUAAAUGUUACACUGUGAGUGACUUUCUUUCCCCCUCUUUCUCACUCUCUCCCUGAGGAGAGGAGUCAGCUAAUCGACAAGCAGUACAACACAGACAGAGGAAAGCUACAGAAGAUCAGACUGAUGAUGGCUUGGAGGAACCGUAAGAUAGCCAUCCUGCAGAGGAAGAUAGACGAGGUGCCGAGCAGGGCGGAACUGAACCAGUAU
This is an RNA transcript of Oncorhynchus tshawytscha (Chinook salmon), 1698 nucleotides long. It is a transcript of the gene named coiled-coil domain-containing protein 93-like, with no coding region annotated. Lineage: Eukaryota; Metazoa; Chordata; Actinopteri; Salmoniformes; Salmonidae. The transcript has 14 exons. The record is from RefSeq and is a predicted model, not a curated record.